CCUACCACCAUACAAGGCACACAUUGCAGCGCGUGCACUAGCGAAUUUUCUGUUUACCAUGGCCGACACGGCACAUUCAACAGCGCUGCCGGUGUUGGGCGAGGGGAAGCGCGGCGGUAACGGUCGCCUCACCACCAUCGCGGCUCCAGUAUCCGCGGAUGGCUCCAUGGACCACGUGGCGCUCUACCGCCAGUUCUGCGCGGAGGAAGGCUGCAAGGCGAACUCGGCGUUUCUCCGCUACAUGCAAGACCGCGGCGGCCACUUCAGCCUCGAGCGACUGAAUCUCAGCAACAACUACCUCGGCUCCAAGGGACUUCGACCAGUGAUCCGCAUGAUUGACCUGUGCCAAACCAUCGUAUCCAUCAACCUCGAGAAUAACGGAAUCAACAACGACGCCGUUAUGGGCCUCUGCGAGGUGCUUCAGCGCCACGUCAGCAUCACCUCGCUCAACUUGAGCCACAACCCCAUCUCCGUUGCAGGGGGGAGGCGGCUGCUGCAGCUUGUCGAAGAUAACCCCCGCAUCACCGAGUUGCUUCUCAACGGGACCGACAUCUUCGAAGGGUCGCAGAGCCGCAUCCGCAUGGCCCUGCAGCGCAACUCCGCUACCCAGCUAAGCUCCGGGCCGCACAUGGAGGUGAACAAGGAGGUGGCGAGCCCUGCCGCCCUGGCCAGGGCGGCAAGGUGUCAGCCGCCGUCGCCCCCUGCGCGCCGGCGCGGUGGCCCCGCGGCGGCCAACACCCUGCCUGUCUUGACGUCACCCAAAGCCACACUGCAGGCGAUCCAUCAUCACCCCCGCAGCGCCGACAAUGCAGCUGCAGACGGCCCCUCCGCAGGGGCAGCGUCGACGUUCAGUGGUGCUGUGUCGCGCCGCAGUCCUGUGAACGGUUCGUCAAGUUCUUGCAACGGCUUUUCGUACAGUGCUACGUCCGCCGCGGUAUUGGAGGCGUCGCCGCGGCACACGUGGCACGAGGUCACGCUCGGAAAACCACAGCCUCGCCCGCCGCACCCCGCGGUGGCCUCGCAGGAGCACAAGAGUUUUUCCUUGAGCAAGGUGAAAGACCUCAAGACGCUCUUCGCCGAGCGGGCGCGGCUGCUCACGGAGAUCAACCGGGGGGAGGCCAGCCGGCGCGCUUAUGCGGCGCGCCAAGAGCUGAUGGCGCUGGAGCGUCAUGGCCGACCCACCGAGGCCACCGCCACUGGUGCGCAGUCCCGCACGUACCCGGGCGCGGCGACAACAAGCAUUCCCCUGCCAGUCCUGCUGACGAACGUGGACGAGGAGGGCAGUCCCACUGCCAACGCCAUCGGCGGCGACGGCGGCGCCGAGAACGCCUCCGUCGACAUCUCCGCCGCGCCACACGUCGCCGUGUCUAGUGGCGGAGAAACAACGGAAGCGGUGCAGCGCAGUGGCAAUGCCCACGCAGCGUCCCCGCCCUCCUCCCUGGCAGGUGCAACAGCGUGCAUCAAUGACGCCCCGGCACCGACCACGGUGGUAGGGGUGCAGUCUGCUGAGGCGGGCCUCGCGGACGGGGCCGCCUUGGCUGUCCCGGAGGAGAGGCCCCAGGCCCACACCAUCGACGAUGUGUUGACUCUGACUCGCAUGAAGCUCCUGACCACGGAGGAGCAGUUCACGGUGCUGUUCGACCAGGGUUGUCGCGAGUACAUGAAUCGCAACCUGGAUGCCGCGUACAUGGCGUGGAACGAGGCGAUGCGGAUAGCGGUGCGUGAGGGACAGCGGGAGUGGAUGGCGGUGGUGGCGAGCAACCUGCAGCGGCUCAGCUACGAGCUCCUCGUCGAGGAGGGCGCCUCGCACCUCGAGCAUGGUGAGCUGGACAAGGCGCUGGAAACAUUCAAGCUCGCCUACGACGUGGCCAUGAAGGCGAAGAACGCAGCCUGGGAGCGGGACAUGCGCACGGCGCUGCAGAAUGUGCAGAAGGCGCUCUUCCACCGCUGCCAUGAGGCGGCCCUGCUCCUUUUCCGCCGCGCUCAGGAGGACAUGAGUGGCAGCGUCGCAGCUACGACGGUGACGGAGGACGACUAUUUUCUAAUCCCCGGCACGGAGGAAAUGGUGCGCCACACCGCCGCCUUCGUACGAGAGUGGUCGUGUCUGCUGUUGCUGAAAGAGGCGGUCGGCAUGUGGGUGGAGGCGACUCGGGCCACGGGGCGGCUCAGCGAGGCGGCCGCCGCCCCGCUGAAGGAAUCUGUGAAAGAUGCGGUGUCGCUCGUCGCCGCCUUCAUUGCGGAGCACCACUUCAACGCAGCGUCCCCGACGGGCCUGACGUGGUUCGGCACGGACGCCUACCUCUACCACGAGUGCAUCCUCCUUAGCGAGCUGUGGUGCGACCUCGUCGCGUACAGCGAGCAGAACUUGCAUCACGGGCUGCUGAGCGCCAUCUGCGCCGCCCAGCUGGGUGAGCUGUACGUCGCCACCUUCCAGCUUCCGCAGGCCCUCGUUCAACUGAACAAGCUGGUCACCUACGGUCGAACGCAGCGAUCCGCUGUGCUUGAGGCGGCGGGCCUGACACUGUGCGGUCGUGUGCAUCUUCAGCGAGCAGACUACGCACUGGCGGAGGCGGCCCUCGACGAGGCCCUGCGAAUCUGGACGGAGCUGCAGAGCGAUCCAGCGCCGAAGGUGCUGGCUGACAGCCGCGACGCCGGGGUGUGGCAUCGCUACGACGUGGCACUGAUGGACGCCUCUUCGGUGACAGCAGACGAGACCGCCGUCGCAUCGGCACAGGCGACGGCGGUUCAGAAGAGUGCGGCGAGCGCGCCUGCCAAGGCGGCGGCCGCCGUGCCGGACAGGCUUGAGGAGAUGAGAGGCACUACUGGCCACGGCAACAGCAGCACCCGCUUCCGCAUCGAGACGCAUCUCCCGACGGACGCGGUCGCCGUGCUCGCCAACAUGUGCCGGCACUACAAGGUAUGCCUGCUGCUGCACACGUACCGCUACAGCGCCGCCCUAGAGGCGCUGGAGAGCAGCCUCAACAAUGCCUACAGCGACACCCUGCGCGAGAAGCUGAGGCGCAACUUUCACCUCAGUCCGUCUCUCGAUGAGAUCGCCGCCAUCGCCGGCGUGCUCAAGACGCCGCUGGUCUUUUACACCCUGGCCACCAAGUACGACUGGGCCGCCACGGAGAGCGGCUACGCAGCGGAGGACUCGCUGUGCAUCUGGGUGGUCUCCGAGUCCCGGGAGAUGCGCUUUGUGGAGGUCAACCUGGCCAAGGACUUCAGGUGCACCCUGAGCGGCCUCAUAGCCUCGCUGCGGCGGCAGCUCUGCAUCGAGCCGGAGAUGGCGGUGCAGCCGGACAUUAUCACGGAGCUGCCGAGUCUCUCCUGGCAGGAGCCGCUGCGGGUGCUCUACCAGGCGUGCAUCCACCCCAUCAUCGGCUACGUGCGCGCGCUAGACUCGCAUCUGCUCCUCGGUGACGGCAUCAUCACCGUGGUGCCGAGCGGGCAGAUGUGGCUGGUGCCCUUCCACGCGCUGCUGAACGUCAAAGCCGGCGACCGGUAUUUCGUCGAGGAAGCCGCCGUCCAGAUGGCCUUUUCCGCUACACAAGCCGCCCUCGCCGCCCUCAGCGCGGAGCGGGUGCAGCAGCAGGACCUGCACCGGGAGGUAGUAGCGGUGCAGCGCGACGCCGAUCACGGCGCGGCCGACGCUCUCUUCUACACGCCCUUCCCGUUCGACACGGACAGGUCGGAGCAGGAAGGCGCAGCAGUUGUAGAGUUGCUGAGUGCGGGACAGGUGCAACUGGUGGAGCAACUCCGCCGGCAUUGCGCUCCUGAGAAGGCUAUCUUCACCCGCAAGGUAGAACUCGUGGAAGACGUGGAGUCGCUGCGGGCAGUCCUGCCGCGCGCCCGCGCCGUGCACAUCGCCACAGCCACAACCGCAUCAGCUCCUUUGUCGCAGGCGAGCGCCAUCGACAAGACUGCCUCGCGGCCAGAGGACGAAGGAGGUCUACUGAUGCGCACUGCAGCCCCGAUGGGAGACGUUGGCGUGAUUCGGGCGGCCGAGAUUGCGCACAUGGAGCUGGCGGCGGAGCACGUGAUCUUGACGAACACAAACAUGUCGCCGCAGCACACGGACGGCAUCCGCGACGACGUGCUCGGGCUGCUGCGCGGAUUUUUUGGCAGCGGCGUGCCGUGUGUGAUUGCGGGGCAGUGGUGCACGCCGGACAUGAAGCCGAUGGAGCUCUUCCGGUAUUUCUACGCGCAGCGGUGUCGCCCGCUGCCAACGUCGCCGGCCGACUUGUCUGUUCGUACGGACACCGCCUCCGGAGGCAGUGUGAGCGCCAGCAACGAGCAGUCCUCCAGGGUUGCACAGCCGCAGGUCGUCGCCGGAGAGGAGGAGCCGAAGGAGGAAGGGGAGAUGGCGCGCCAUCGUGCGUUGCUGCUCGCCCGCUCUAUUCGCCACCUUCUCACUGAGGAGCCGGCGAUGCGCUACCGGCCACGUGUGUGGGCAGGCUACUACUGCAUUGGCAGCGGGUGGUAGUCGCUCAGCUCGUCGCUUAGUUAUUGCGGGGAGUGGGUGGGAAAGGGAAAAACCGCGACGGUAGACCAGGCGUCGGCAAAGGGUCUGCGUGCGCGUGUCUAUCGCACCCACUCCCACCACCCCUGCCCUCAUGUACAGUAGUAGACCGUAACACGACACGCAUCUUGGCGACUCGUGUUGCAGGCGAUGUUCUUUCCGCCACUUGUGUGGCAUUGUGGUCGUCUUAUUGGGCUCUCUGCUUCUCACGUCAUCCUUAUUCGCCAGCGGCUAGUCGUGUGAUCGGACAGGUGGCGUGACGCGGGCGCCCUUCUCGCUCUCCGUGUGUGUGCGUGUGCAUGUGUAUUCGUUUUCUCGCGCCUUCAUGUAAACUACGACACCUGUAAAGUGCGCGUGGGCAUCUGUGCGUGUAUCAUCCCUGCGCCAGCGUCACGCCCUCUCCUGCCGCUCUCUUCUCAGCAAGAAUGUUGAUCAGCGCAGACGAAACUGGAAAGUCAAAGGAGAGGAUCAUCCGUCUGGAAGGCCGGAGGCGGUGCAUGGAUGAUCGUUCCUGAGGGCGGCUACUCUUGUCAGCCCAUCCCCCUUCCACCCUUGCGACCUCUCUGGUGCUGAGCACCCUCCAUGUCAUGAGAAAGUGGUGGUGGCUGUGGUGGUGCAAGCCCCGCAACUGUGUAAAUGGGUGCUUCAGCAGCACCAGCUCACACACACACACACACACACAC
This 5205-nucleotide unclassified non-coding RNA is filed under the name Leishmania donovani. Its description in RNAcentral is "gene:LdHU3.21.0240(CDS-product:Leucine_Rich_repea t/CHAT_domain_containing_protein_putative)". Lineage: Eukaryota; Euglenozoa; Kinetoplastea; Trypanosomatida; Trypanosomatidae. The record is from RNAcentral.